UUGCUAGCAGCUAGCUCUCUGCAAUUCCCACAUGGUCGCCCACUAAAGCUAAGCAGGGCUGCGCCUGGUCAGUAUCUAGAUGGGAGACCACAUGGGAAAGCUAGGUUGCUGGGGUU
This 116-nucleotide ribosomal RNA is filed under the name Danio rerio (zebrafish). The record is from RNAcentral. Lineage: Eukaryota; Metazoa; Chordata; Actinopteri; Cypriniformes; Danionidae.